Molecule: ribosomal RNA, 318 nt
Filed under: Triticum aestivum (bread wheat)
Lineage: Eukaryota; Viridiplantae; Streptophyta; Magnoliopsida; Poales; Poaceae
Description: partial small subunit ribosomal RNA
Source: RNAcentral
AUGAAAGAAAAGGUUGAGAAAGAAGGCGUAAAGACAGAGAGAUCGAACGCAGAGAUUAGGAGGAGAUUGGAGAUAAUUUACCCUCCGCAGUCGUUGCUGCAUUCGCAGUUGCCUCCACAGCACGACAUGGUGAUGAUCUCACUCAACGAAGUGCAUCGAGUUCAUAUGCUCUCUGACUGCGCUUGUUCUGCUUUGGAAGGGAAGCUUGGUGUGCCCGUGAUUUAUAGAGCUGGGAGAGAGGCUGUCUAUCCGCCGUCCACUUCUCGGGCCUACCUCGGUUGGACGCCACUGAUCGAUCAACCAAUGAAUGAUAACUGA